RNAcentral lists this ribosomal RNA (392 nucleotides) under uncultured bacterium. Its description in RNAcentral is "partial 16S ribosomal RNA". It matches the Rfam family "Bacterial small subunit ribosomal RNA", at positions 523 to 917 of the family's 1533-position model. The record is from RNAcentral.
AUACGGAGGAUCCGAGCGUUAUCCGGAUUUAUUGGGUUUAAAGGGUGCGCAGGCGGGAGAUUAAGUCGGCGGUGAAAUUUUGCAGCUCAACUGGAAAAAUGCCUUCGAAACUGGUUUCCUUGAGUGUAGAUGAAGUAGGCGGAAUUUGUGGUGUAGCGGUGAAAUGCCUAGAUAUCACGAGGAACUCCGAUUGCGCAGGCAGCUUACUAAACUACUACUGACGCUCAGGCACGAAGGCGUGGGGAUCAAACAGGAUUAGAUACCCUGGUAGUCCACGCAGUAAACGAUGAUUACUAGCUGUUUGCGAUACAAUGUAAGCGGCUGAGCGAAAGCGUUAAGUAAUCCACCUGGGGAGUACGUUCGCAAGAAUGAAACUCAAAUGAAUUGGCGGG